RNAcentral lists this ribosomal RNA (687 nucleotides) under uncultured Pseudomonadales bacterium. Its description in RNAcentral is "bacterial SSU rRNA". It matches the Rfam family "Bacterial small subunit ribosomal RNA", at positions 57 to 739 of the family's 1533-position model. The record is from RNAcentral. Lineage: Bacteria; Pseudomonadati; Pseudomonadota; Gammaproteobacteria; Pseudomonadales.
GCAAGUCGAGCGGAUGAGAAGAGCUUGCUCUUCGAUUCAGCGGCGGACGGGUGAGUAAUGCCUAGGAAUCUGCCUGGUAGUGGGGGACAACGUUUCGAAAGGAACGCUAAUACCGCAUACGUCCUACGGGAGAAAGCAGGGGACCUUCGGGCCUUGCGCUAUCAGAUGAGCCUAGGUCGGAUUAGCUAGUUGGUGAGGUAAUGGCUCACCAAGGCGACGAUCCGUAACUGGUCUGAGAGGAUGAUCAGUCACACUGGAACUGAGACACGGUCCAGACUCCUACGGGAGGCAGCAGUGGGGAAUAUUGGACAAUGGGCGAAAGCCUGAUCCAGCCAUGCCGCGUGUGUGAAGAAGGUCUUCGGAUUGUAAAGCACUUUAAGUUGGGAGGAAGGGCAUUAACCUAAUACGUUAGUGUUUUGACGUUACCGACAGAAUAAGCACCGGCUAACUCUGUGCCAGCAGCCGCGGUAAUACAGAGGGUGCAAGCGUUAAUCGGAAUUACUGGGCGUAAAGCGCGCGUAGGUGGUUUGUUAAGUUGAAUGUGAAAGCCCCGGGCUCAACCUGGGAACUGCAUCCAAAACUGGCAAGCUAGAGUACGGUAGAGGGUGGUGGAAUUUCCUGUGUAGCGGUGAAAUGCGUAGAUAUAGGAAGGAACACCAGUGGCGAAGGCGACCACCUGGACUGAUA